Molecule: RNA transcript, 1100 nt
Organism: Phyllopteryx taeniolatus (common seadragon)
Lineage: Eukaryota; Metazoa; Chordata; Actinopteri; Syngnathiformes; Syngnathidae
Gene name: CD209 antigen-like protein E
Exons: 7
Source: RefSeq, a predicted model, not a curated record
AUGUCACACAUUCACACAGUGGUAAGCAAGGCGAACAACAACUUUGCUAGGUGACAGAUCUAAAUUUGAAGGCAAAGUGGUCAUCAAUGAGAGAAUAUAAAACAUCCAGCAUCAUUGUUACUCUCCAGGGGAUGCAACAUGGUGAGAUUUGAUCAUACAGAAGUCCCAGUGCAGAUGGACUAUGUGAACAUGACUCGUGCUUCAAGCCAAGGAGGGACAGCUGCAGUGACAGGAAGAAACGUGUACAGACUAGUUGCUGUGAUCUUUGGACUCCUGUGCGUCCUGCAAGCUGCUCUCAACAUUUCACUGCGUCUUACUACCUUACAUUCUGCCAGCAAAAUAAAAGAAAUUGCCACAGAGGCCACCUGCACAAACACCUCUCAAGAACUUGACAAGCUGAAAAGAAAAAUCACUACCAUUGAUAGCCAUCGCCGACAAGGAUGGGUUUAUUUCCCCUCUAGUUUGUAUUACAUUUCUUCAACAACAAGAUCCUGGUCCGGCAGCAGAGCCGACUGCCUUCGAAGAGGUGCAGACCUGGUGGUUAUCAAGAGCAGAGAAGAGCAGGCCUUCAUAGUGAAAUUCAACCUGAGGGUGUGGAUUGGGCUGACCGAGAAAGAGGGCGCAUGGAAAUGGGUUGACAGGUCUCAGCUGACAGAAAGCUACUGGGCUGCAGAUGAACCUAAUAAUUAUGAAGGCACAAAGGAAGACUGUGUAGAAAUAAGGUUCAGUGACAUCAAUAACAGCUGGAACGAUGUCACAUGUGGAGAACAACACUUUUGGAUAUGUGAAAAGAUUGUGUGAUGCAACUCUUAGGAGAUAAUAAAACUUUAUAAUUGCUGAACAAAGUUCAUUUUGUAUAUCUGUAAUACCUAAUGUUGUUGAUUACCAUGAGAUAAUAAUUUUGUUUGUCUAGAGCACAGGUGACAAACUCAAGGCCCGGGGGCCACAUCCGUCAUGUCAUCCAUUUAUGUGGCCCGCGAAAAGCAACUCAACCCUACGAGGGAAACCAUAACUAUGAUGUGGCCCGCAGCAAAAAGGAGUUUGACACCCCUGGUCUAGAGAAACCAAGCAUCCAUCCAUCCAUCCAUUUUCUAUACCAC